CCUACGGGAGGCAGCAGUGGGGAAUAUUGCACAAUGGGGGAAACCCUGAUGCAGCGACGCCGCGUGAGUGAAGAAGUAAUUCGGUAUGUAAAGCACUAUCAGCAGGGAAGAAAAGGACGGUACUUGAGUAAGAAGCCCCGGCUAACUACGGGCCAGCAGCCGCGGUAAUACGGAGGGGGCAAGCGUUAACCGGAUUUACUGGGGGAAAAGGGAGCGUAGACGGCAGUGCAAGUCUGGAGUGAAAGGCGGGGGCUCAACCCCCGGACUGCUCUGGAAACUGUACGGCUGGAGUGCAGGAGAGGUAAGUGGAAUUCCUGGUGUAGCGGUGAAAUGCGUAGAUAUCUGGAAGAACACCAGUGGCGAAGGCGGCCCUCUGGUCUGCGACUGACGCUGAGGCUCGAAAGCAUGGGUAGCGAACAGGAUUAGAUACCCUAGUAGUC
Molecule: ribosomal RNA, 440 nt
Filed under: uncultured bacterium
Lineage: Bacteria
Description: partial 16S ribosomal RNA
Rfam family: Bacterial small subunit ribosomal RNA
Source: RNAcentral